UGGGGAAUAUUGCACAAUGGGGGAAACCCUGAUGCAGCGACGCCGCGUGAGCGAUGAAGGCUUUCGAGUCGUAAAGCUCUGUCCUAUGGGAAGAUAAUGACGGUACCAUAGAAGAAAGCCCCGGCUAAUUACGUGCCAGCAGCCGCGGUAAUACGUAAGGGGCGAGCGUUGUCCGGAAUUAUUGGGCGUAAAGAGUGCGUAGGCGGCAAAUUAAGUCAGAUGUGAAAACGAAGGGCUCAACCCAUAGAUUGCAUCUGAAACUGAUAUGCUUGAGUCAAGGGGAGGAAGGUGGAAUUCCUAGUGUAGCGGUGGAAUGCGUAGAUAUUAGGAGGAAUACCGGUGGCGAAGGCGACUUUCUCGACGUGAACUGACGCAGAGGCACGAAAGCAUGGGGAGCAAACAGG
RNAcentral lists this ribosomal RNA (404 nucleotides) under Verrucomicrobiota bacterium. Its description in RNAcentral is "Verrucomicrobia bacterium partial 16S ribosomal RNA". It matches the Rfam family "Bacterial small subunit ribosomal RNA", at positions 355 to 776 of the family's 1533-position model. The record is from RNAcentral. Lineage: Bacteria; Pseudomonadati; Verrucomicrobiota.